Molecule: transfer RNA, 72 nt
Filed under: Actinomadura kijaniata
Lineage: Bacteria; Bacillati; Actinomycetota; Actinomycetes; Streptosporangiales; Thermomonosporaceae
Description: tRNA-Cys
Rfam family: tRNA
About the family: Transfer RNA (tRNA) molecules are approximately 80 nucleotides in length. Their secondary structure includes four short double-helical elements and three loops (D, anti-codon, and T loops). Further hydrogen bonds mediate the characteristic L-shaped molecular structure. tRNAs have two regions of fundamental functional importance: the anti-codon, which is responsible for specific mRNA codon recognition, and the 3' end, to which the tRNAs corresponding amino acid is attached (by aminoacyl-tRNA synthetases). tRNAs cope with the degeneracy of the genetic code in two manners: having more than one tRNA (with a specific anti-codon) for a particular amino acid; and 'wobble' base-pairing, i.e. permitting non-standard base-pairing at the 3rd anti-codon position.
Source: RNAcentral
GGCGCCGUGGCCGAGUGGUUCAGGCAGCGGUCCGCAAAACCGUGUACGCGGGUUCGAGUCCCGCCGGCGCUU